CGGCCGGCGCAGCGUAGGGGCUGGGCGGCCUGCGGGUCCCGGCAGCUGGGUUGAUGGGUGACUCCGGCGCAGUUCCGCGGGUGGGGGCAGCUCUCGCGGCCAGUGCGGUCUGGGGCGGUCAGUUGGGGUCGGAAAUGCGGAGGUCCUGGCGGCAACCGAUGGCCCGAGCACUGCAGUAGAGGGUCUUGCCGCAUGGAGCGCAGCCGCCAGGGCAGGCGAGUGCGGAGGAUGCCGAGGGGCGAGGCGCCGAGCGCCGAGGCCGUGAGGGAUUCAACUUAUCAAACCAGAUGUGAUCUUCCCACUGGAGCUAGAGCAGCCCUGGGCAGUAGGUGAAGAUACAGCAAGUCAGACCUUUCCAGAAUACUGGAAAGUUGAUGAUUAGAAAGUAUGGCAGCAAGAAUUCCAUGACAGGAUUUAAAAAAUGGAACAAGUCUGUGAAACAAAUGCAAGUGGAAAAAUAUUUCAGUUUGGCAUGAACCUUCCACCUUUAAAGCAAAUGCCAAAUAAGCAUGUCUCAAAUGGAAAACAUCUGAAAUACUCAUUAGAUUUAUUUACUCAGACUGGAAAUUGUGGAAGAAAGAAAGCUGGUAAGUUUGGGCAGCCGGGUGGCUCAACAGUUUGGCGUCUGCCUUUGGCCUAGGGCCUGAUCCUGGAGACCCAGGAUCGAGUCUCACAUCAGGCUCCCUGCAUGAAGCCUGCUUCUCCCUC
Molecule: long non-coding RNA, 708 nt
Filed under: Canis lupus familiaris (dog)
Lineage: Eukaryota; Metazoa; Chordata; Mammalia; Carnivora; Canidae
Description: lncRNA (ENSCAFG00845025107.1)
Source: RNAcentral